CCCCUGAUGGUGUAGUUGGUUUAUCACGUCUGACUGUAAUGGUAGUGUAUGAUAUAUUUAUAUAUUAUGCAUGAUUGUUGUAUAUCAGAAGGUCGCUGGCUCGACUCCGGCUCGGGGGA
Molecule: transfer RNA, 119 nt
Filed under: Talaromyces stipitatus ATCC 10500
Lineage: Eukaryota; Fungi; Ascomycota; Eurotiomycetes; Eurotiales; Trichocomaceae
Description: tRNA-Tyr
Source: RNAcentral